GACGAACGCUGGCGGCGUGCUUAACACAUGCAAGUCGAACGGGCCUUGUCCCCUUUUUUUUUGGGGGUGGGGCUAGUGGCGAACGGGUGAGUAACACGUGAGUAACCUGCCCCUCACUUCUGGCUAACCGCUUGAAAGGGUGCCCAAUACGGGGUGUUCUGGCCUGCUCGCAUGGGUGGGUUUGGCAAGAUUCGACCGGCCUGGUUGUUUUGGUGGGGGUUGGGCUCGCGGCCUAUCAGCUUGUGGGGGGGGUGAUGGCCUGCCAAGGCUUUGCCGGGUAGCCGGCCUGAGGAGGUGGGCGGUCACACUGGGAGUGAGACACGGCCCAGACUUCUGCGAGAGGCAGCAGUGGAGAAUAUUGCACAGGGGGCGCAAGCCAGAUGGAGAGGCGCCGCGUGAGAGAUGGGGGCCUUCGGGGUGUGAACCUCUUUCGCGAGAGAAAGAGGUGCUGCUCUUUGUGGUGGGGUUGACGGUAGCUGAGUUAAUGAAGCGCCGGCUAACUACGUG
Molecule: ribosomal RNA, 507 nt
Filed under: uncultured bacterium
Lineage: Bacteria
Description: partial 16S ribosomal RNA
Rfam family: Bacterial small subunit ribosomal RNA
Source: RNAcentral